RNAcentral lists this ribosomal RNA (305 nucleotides) under uncultured bacterium. RNAcentral's name for it is "bacterial SSU rRNA". It matches the Rfam family "Bacterial small subunit ribosomal RNA", at positions 338 to 660 of the family's 1533-position model. The record is from RNAcentral.
CCUACGGGAGGCAGCAGUGGGGAAUAUUGCACAAUGGGGGGAACCCUGAUGCAGCGACGCCGCGUGGGUGAAGGAGUACUUCGGUACGUAAAGCCCUAUCAGCAGGAAAGAAAAUGACGGUACCUGACUAAGAAGCCCCGGCUAACUACGUGCCAGCAGCCGCGGUAAUACGUAGGGGGCAAGCGUUAUCCGGAUUUACUGGGUGUAAAGGGAGCGUAGACGGCAGUGCAAGUCCGGAGUGAAAGCCCGGGGCUCAACCCUGGGACUGCUCUGGAAACUGUAAAGCUGGAGUGCGGGAGGGGCAG